Long non-coding RNA from Paramisgurnus dabryanus, 1620 nucleotides. RefSeq lists it as uncharacterized. NCBI's taxonomy places the organism in Eukaryota, Metazoa, Chordata, Actinopteri, Cypriniformes, Cobitidae. The record is from RefSeq and is a predicted model, not a curated record.
UACAUUUUUAAGAAAUAUGCUAAACUUAAGAAUAUUUUUAAUGUAUUUAUAUUAAGUGUACUAAAAGUAUGCUGGUAAUAAAUAUAUGCAUAAUUACACUUUUAAGAAAUAUGCUAAACACAAAUGUACUUCUAGUGAAGUUUUAGUAUAUUUGGAUAAAACAUACUUUUUUCAAAACAUGAUUCAUUAAUUGUAAUAAGCUAACAUUGAACUUUCCUCAAACAUUUCAACAUUAUAUCAUUCCGAUUGCAUAAUAAACUAUUUUUUCAAAGAUUUGCUUAAAAUCUUACAUUUGCUAGUGUUUAAUUUCAAACAACACACGUGACACACGUGACUAAACCUGAUUGGUUGUUGUCAUAGUAACACGUCACGGUGCUAUUUGAAACUUGUUCAGUUCAGUACAGUUGUUCACGAGGUGCAUGCGGUCGCUUGCAUUAAACGUAUAAACUGUUAAAUUAGAUGGCGACUCUGCAUUAAACGUAUUUAUUUAAUUAAUCGGCGAUCAUAUUUCACCAGAGGACUAAGAUAAAACAACUCGAUUUAAAAUGUGAGCAGUUUUAGUGGAUCUGACGUUGAGGGAAAAAGUAUUUCGCUUUUUGUUUGGAGAUGAACGAGACAACACGAGGGUAAGUGAUGACAGAUUUUCACAUUUCUUUAUUUAGUUAACUAUUAAAUAAGUAAAACAUUACAUUACAUUUAACCCAGCUUCUUUAUGUAACGUUAUGUCUGUGUUGCGUGUGGUAAUUGGAACAUCUUUAUUUUCUGACUAACGUUAGGCAUUUCUCUUAAGCAUUUCAGAAAUCAUUAAAACCUUUCAUUUUUUUUAGCACAGCGACAUAAAUAUGACCAACCAGAUCCCAAGUAGACAGGAACAAAUGAAGAUAUAGCGCAUAGAAAGACUUAUUCUUGGUGAUCAACUGCUAUUGACAUUUUUGAAUCGGGGCAAAUGUGGAGUGAUUCGGAAGAAAAACGUUUGCAACACAUCCAUUCCAGAGUGCUCUGACAGAUAAAACUGACACGCUUGAUGAGGACACAGUCAAAGCUUUAAAAGACCGUGUGAUAAAGCAGUCUUCAAUUACUACGGUGUCUGAAUUGCAAGAAGUGGUGACCCUCCACUUAAACAUGUGACAUCUAAACUGUUUUGUGUUUUAGUUCAGCUUUUUAUAGGUUUAUCUUAAGUUGGUUAAAGGCGGAGUGCACUAUUUUUGAAAGCCAAUGUUAACAUUUGAAAUUACCUAAACAAACAUGCCUCUACCCCAAUAGAAUCUGGACCUUCUUUUGAUAGAGCCACCACACACAUACGCAACCCCGGCAAGGAUGUCAGUUAGUAGACACGCCCCUUACUGCUGGUUGGCUACAACUGUGUUGUGGUAGUCGGCCCAAUUUCCUUUUCCAAAGCGUUUUUCAAACAUUGUGCACUCCGUCUUUAAAUUGCACUUAAAACAUUUUUUUUUCAGUAACUUUUUAUGCAGAGAAUUACAUUAUGAUUAUUAUAUAAUCAUUGCUUAUGAAUAUUUAGUGAUUGCAUAUUCAUAGUGUACUUUUCAUUAAUACAUUUAAUGUUAAUGUUGUACAAUUUGAUAGAAGUAGCUCUGUAAUUGCAUUUCUCUGAUAUUUGUU